UGGUCGUCAUCUUUCACGUCUGGCUCUUUCUCUAUUUUCUGUUAGGGCCUUCUUCCCCUUUGAGGCUCCUUUUCACUUAUACUGUUACUGUCUCUGUUGCUAUGUUGUCUUGAUUGGUUUUCGUUUCUUUUUGCCACCUCUAACGUGCAUCAACUCUACCUAUUCGGUUUACAACUUCACAUGUUGUACAGGUUUACCAUUCAUUUCGCAGUUUC
Non-coding RNA from Pelobates cultripes (western spadefoot toad), 215 nucleotides. Lineage: Eukaryota; Metazoa; Chordata; Amphibia; Anura; Pelobatidae. The record is from the annotation of a GenBank genome assembly.